CGGCGAGUAGCGCAGCUUGGUAGCGCAACUGGUUUGGGACCAGUGGUCGGAGGGUCGAAUCCUCUCUCGCCGACCA
Molecule: transfer RNA, 76 nt
Filed under: Salmonella enterica
Lineage: Bacteria; Pseudomonadati; Pseudomonadota; Gammaproteobacteria; Enterobacterales; Enterobacteriaceae
Description: tRNA-Pro
Rfam family: tRNA
About the family: Transfer RNA (tRNA) molecules are approximately 80 nucleotides in length. Their secondary structure includes four short double-helical elements and three loops (D, anti-codon, and T loops). Further hydrogen bonds mediate the characteristic L-shaped molecular structure. tRNAs have two regions of fundamental functional importance: the anti-codon, which is responsible for specific mRNA codon recognition, and the 3' end, to which the tRNAs corresponding amino acid is attached (by aminoacyl-tRNA synthetases). tRNAs cope with the degeneracy of the genetic code in two manners: having more than one tRNA (with a specific anti-codon) for a particular amino acid; and 'wobble' base-pairing, i.e. permitting non-standard base-pairing at the 3rd anti-codon position.
Source: RNAcentral